AAGGGUGCGUAACACGUGGGGAAUCUGCCGAGAAGUGAGGGAUAGCUCGUCGAAAGGCGAAUUAAUACCGCAUGUGGUUAGGGAAGACAUCUUUCCGACACCAAAGCCGGGGCAACCUGGCGCUUCUUGAUGACCCCGCGGCCUAUCAGCUAGUUGGUGAGGUAACGGCUCACCAAGGCUAUGACGGGUAGCUGGUCUGAGAGGACGACCAGCCACACUGGAACUGAGACACGGUCCAGACACCUACGGGUGGCAGCAGUCGAGAAUUUUUCUCAAUGGGGGAAACCCUGAAGGAGCGACGCCGCGUGGAGGAUGAAGGUCUUCGGAUUGUAAACUCCUGUCAUUAGGGAACAAUUGCCAGUAAGUAACUAUUAUUGGCUUGAUAGUACCUGAAGAGGAAGAGACGGCUAACUCUGUGCCAGCAGCCGCGGUAAUACAGAGGUCUCAAGCGUUGUUCGGAUUCAUUGGGCGUAAAGGGUGCGUAGGUGGCGCCAUAAGUCAGGUGUGAAAUCUCGGGGCUCAACCCCGAAACUGCACUUGAUACUGUGGUGCUCGAGUACUGGAGAGGAGAUUGGAAUU
RNAcentral lists this ribosomal RNA (579 nucleotides) under uncultured bacterium. Its description in RNAcentral is "bacterial SSU rRNA". It matches the Rfam family "Bacterial small subunit ribosomal RNA", at positions 102 to 668 of the family's 1533-position model. The record is from RNAcentral.